GGCUUGUUUGUUUGUUUGUUUGUUUGUUUGUUUGUUUGUUUGUUUGUUUGUUUGUUUGUUUGUUUGUUUGUUUCAGGGACCGCGUGGGCCUCUGGAAAAGAGGGGUAGGUGUCGGGAGCCCUCGUGCGUUCUGAAGAGAUUUCGAUGAGACGAUUGACACAGCUUUUUCCUCGUUGCCCCAUCAUCGCCAAAGAAUUGUUUGAGGGGGCCGGUAACACUGGAGCUAUUGGGUUGUGUUGCCCCACCAGCAGUCGCCGACGGGGCCGGAAGGACGUCCGGCCUGGUCUGCUGCCUUUGCCAUUAUGACUCCACAUGUUCGCACUGUUAACGUCACUUGAUACAGACAGUAGCUUUAGCUUGUCGUAGGUCGCCUGGCUGCUGACCGGGGCCUUGCACGGGAUUCAACGGCCAUCAUAA
Syngnathus acus (greater pipefish) is the source of this 417-nucleotide long non-coding RNA. RefSeq lists it as uncharacterized. NCBI's taxonomy places the organism in Eukaryota, Metazoa, Chordata, Actinopteri, Syngnathiformes, Syngnathidae. The record is from RefSeq and is a predicted model, not a curated record. The transcript has 3 exons.